Long non-coding RNA from Sinocyclocheilus rhinocerous, 167 nucleotides. RefSeq lists it as uncharacterized. The transcript is spliced from 3 exons. Lineage: Eukaryota; Metazoa; Chordata; Actinopteri; Cypriniformes; Cyprinidae. The record is from RefSeq and is a predicted model, not a curated record.
AAAUGGAAUCCCUGAAUUCAAUUAUAUUGACGUUAAGGAAAAGAAAAUUGGGAAAUGCAAAGCCUAAAUAUGUGAGAUCUUUAAAAAAAAAAUGUCAUUCAGACCAAAGGCAUGCAGAAACGAGCAACACUUCAUAGCGAUGUUCCUGAAUGAAUCAGUGUUUAAAU